CUGGAGAUCCUUAGCGUGUGCAGGAGGCUGGGGAGGUGAAUGAGUUAGUCCUGUCUUUUAAACAAGAAAACAGCUAUGCCUGUGGGCUGAAUUUAGGUCAGACUGGAAACUAGAACUCUGAAAAUAAACUUUUCUCCCCCCGAAUGGUGCUGCAAAAGCCUUGUAUUCAGGUAAAGGCUUAUAAUUGUUUGAGCAUUGGGAGAAAAAAUUCUGCUGCUGCAAGGCAAGCCUGAUGUGUCACAGCACAGCUUGGAGAUGAGAUGUGACACUGUCUUGGAGCUUGAGGUCUGUCUGUCCGGGCCCAGGAAGAUGGAUGGCUUUGCGGUGUUGUUUGAAAGCUGCACUGACCUGCUGAGAUGAGGGAAGAAUCAGAGAAUAUCCUGAGUUGGAGGGAACCUCCCCUGACGCAGCUCCAUGCCAUUCUCUCAGGCCCUGUCGCUGUCACACAGAGCAGAGCUCAGCGCUGCCCUCCACUCCCUGUGAGGAGCUGCAGCCUCCAUGAGGCCUCCCCUCAGCUCCUCUGCUCUGGGUGAAGAAGAAGAGAAACAGGGAGAGUGAAAGCUGGGUUACAAGGUGCUUGCUAACUGAGGCUUCGUGGUCAGCAUAUAUCACUAGUGGAUGAGUCUGGCGUUUGUCAAGCCCCAGAACAUGAUGAACAACCCAUUACCACCAGAGUAAUGGAGAGGUCUGAACGUCCACAAAUGACAACCGGGAGCAAUUGAAGUAUGAUGGGGAAGGAGGAUGGGCUGCAGCUCCAG
Molecule: long non-coding RNA, 758 nt
Organism: Gallus gallus (chicken)
Lineage: Eukaryota; Metazoa; Chordata; Aves; Galliformes; Phasianidae
Source: Ensembl